Molecule: ribosomal RNA, 347 nt
Filed under: uncultured bacterium
Lineage: Bacteria
Description: partial 16S ribosomal RNA
Rfam family: Bacterial small subunit ribosomal RNA
Source: RNAcentral
CCUACGGGUGGCAGCAGUGAGGAAUAGUGGUCAAUGGGCGAGAGCCUGAACCAGCCAAGUAGCGGGAAGGAUGACUGCCCUACGGGUUGUAAACGUCUUUUAUAAAGGAAUAAAGUGAGGCACGGGUGCCUGUUUGGAUGUACUUUAUGAAGAAGGAUCGGCUAACUCCGUGCCAGCAGCCGCGGUAAGACGGAGGAUCCGAGCGUUAUCCGGAUUUAGUGGGUUGAAAGGGAGCGUCGAUGGGUUGUUAAGGCAGUUGUGAAAGUUUGCGGCUCAACCGUAAAAUUGCAAUUGAUACUGGCAGUCUUUCGUUCAGUUGAGUUAGGCGGAAUUCUUGUUGUAGCGGU